GAAAUAUCUGCAGCGGUCCCAGUAACAUUUCAUGAACGCAGCUGCAAGAACAAAACGUUCAACGUCGCAUCUCAACAUGUUUGUAUCCCAAUGAAAACUACUCUGAUGAUCUAUUUACUCCCCCGCUCUUUCAUUCGUUUCCACCUGCAGGAUGUGACUCUGUGUGCGGAGUGUUUUGUCAGUGAUGGUUAUUGGCGGUGCUGUAACUGUGCGCUCCCCCUCAUGCGUCAGGGCGCACGGAGAGCUGUUUUCUCUCCUCUGCUCUCUGCUGGACUGGAACAGCGCCUAAUCAUCCCCUCCUCACAGCGGGAGGUUUCAUGUUGUUUUCCACUUUGAUUCCCUCCACCUGUGCCCACAUGAUGUUCUACGAUUGCUUCACCUGGCUUUAAUCGCCGCUGCCAGGAUCACUGGAAAGCCUGGGAGUUAGAAAUGCGCUCCAGUUUCUAACAACUCCGUGAACACGCUGCUGCUGUUUGUGAACUGGACUUGUUUGCACUGAAAAGGGCCAAACGUGUGCAUAUGACCAAAUUUAAACACCGGAGCUGUUUGCUUGAAAAUCAAACCCUGAUGACAAAAACUAAGAAAACAAGGGCAACGCUAGCACACAACUUCAUUUCAACUGUCCCUCCACCUGAAAAAGUAAACGAUCACAACACCAGUAAAACCAGCCUCGAAAGAAAAGUGAGGUGAGAAAUGAGCCGCACAGCAGCAGCAUCACGAUUCGUUUUGCGGCUUCAAUAUGUGUUGGCAAAGUUAGAAAGUUCUUGGAGUCACUCUGUCCCUGCAGAGUGGCCCUUUGUGUGCUUUGUUUUCCAGAAGUGAAUCUUAUAUUGAAAGCUGAGCUCACAGGUCAGUCUGGCUUUGCAGACUCAGGACUUCAAAACACGAGGAAAUAAAUGGAGGGGGAACAAAAUGUGUUUUUGUCACUGCAGCUGCUGACAAAGUUUAUUCGAAGAAGUUGUAUUUUUCCAAGACUGAGUGACUCAUGUGAAAUGGUGGUGAUAACUGCGGGUUGAUGGAGCUGUAUCUUCAGUCUAAUCACUCACUCAUCCUCUGUGGCCGAGCUGCUGCAGUGAAAACAAUCUGUGGAUGUGGAGAGCAGAGGUGCGCUUUGGUGCUUAAUCAUUUUUUAGUCUAUAGAAUAUACAAAAAGAGCAAACAGUCCAGAGUGGCGUCUUUAUUUGUUCAACAAGCUGCUCAAAAUCAAUAAAUAUUCAGUUUACAACAGAGAAAAGAAGCAAAUCCUCACACUGGAGAAGCUGGAACCGAUUAUGUCAUGAAUGGAUUAGUUCAGAUCAUUCAUCAAGAAACAAAACGGACUUUCUCUCGUUCCAGCUUCUCAAAUGUGAGUUUCUGCAGCUUUUCUGUUUUUAUUUUUGGAUUUUAGUUGGUUGGUUGAAGGAAAAACCUGCAACAUGAAGCUGUGAGGGACAUUUUUUAAUCUCUCCUGACAUUUUGUAGACUAAAAAUCAGUUAUCUAAACUAAAAUAAUCUCCAGAUAACUCGAUAAUAAGAGACAGUCUUAACUGACAGAUGACAAACAAUUAAAGGUCCCUCUGAGAGUUAAGGCUCAGAUGGAUGCCACAGCUGCUGGUUAGCUUAGUUUAGCAUAAAGCCUGGAAACAAGGGCAUGACACGAAUAUAAAAACAUUAACAUGCUAUCUUGCCGGCCAUUUCUUCAUCAGUGGCAUCAAUCUGAACAUCGAACUCUCCGUCAGGCAGCAAAUAUGGGAAUUUUCCAAAACCUCAAACUAUUCUUUAACCAACUGUCAACACUGCCGUCAGAGAUUUCCCUCUUAUUGACUAAUCGAUUAAUCGUGUAAGCACUAGCGGGAAACACCUGCUGCUGGGAGGAAAGAAGUGCUGCGUAGUCAGACUGCGAUGAGCCCGAACACACAUUAACCGCCUGGUGUCACGGUUCACUAGACUCUGCCGUGAAAGAUGCACUGAGAAGCUGAUGCACUGGGUGAAACACUCCUGCAACCAGAGAGUCUGUUUGGUGAAGAAGCACUUUUCCUCCCCGCAGGUUUCCACAUGUACAGAAAGGAAAGACGGAGCAAACGGCUUUGUUUUUCAGCUCGACUGCGGCGGGUUUCAUGCGCGAUCGGCGGCUGGUAAAGAUUAAUCAGCCCUCAGAGGAGCUCCUAAUCCUUCAGACUCAAACAUGAAGACUCGGGAAUUAACAAGGUUUUUUUUUUUUCCCCACACAACAGAAGCUCACUUUUCAAACUAAACGCAGACUGCCAGACAAAUUUAUAAUCCCCAACAAGGACUCGACUGACGUCCUGCUGCUUUCCCGGGGUCUUUUACAUUUUGUUGUUUGGAAAAAAAGAGCAAAGAACAACUGGUGACGUUUGAUAACCACUGUGUCUGAACACCCCUCCCCCCCCCCAGUUCUCCUUGUGCUUCUCAUGUAAUCCCGUCGUUCAAAUAUAACUACCUGUCCGUGUGUGAAAACCCCAGAGGGCUGUUAAACAACACUUCCUGUUGUUGUUGUCCUCAAAGACUCUUCUAACCAUCUGAGUGAAAAAGAUCUUCAGUCUGCUGCACAAUAAAAGACCAGAAGAAACUUUUUGCAUCUAUAUUUCCUAUCCAUGGAUGCAACAUAUAUUCGUUCUUGCGUCGUAUGAUGUUAUUUUGUAUGAAAAUAUAAAAGAAAACAAUGUUACACAGACAAAUAAUGCUUUCCUUGAGACCUCCAUUUAUCAGCAUUAUAUUUAAACUUUUGCAGUUGAAAUCAGAUAUGAAGAUAUUUUAUUAAUGUACAGUAACUUCUAUGAAGAUAUAUUUGAUACAACACCUGUUUAACUAUGUUGUCAUUCCUGAUUACACUCACUAAAGGUUCACGCUGUACAUCUCUCAUUUCCUGCUGCCAUCUUCGUUUGCAUACGGAGACGAGAUUCGAGAAAUGAGUCAAAUCUUUUUUUAUUGUGCAGAGAACAAAAUACAUUUCUCUCUCUGGGUUUUCACAAAGAUCACUGGUUGUUCAUACUGUGGAAAUACAGAUGAUUCGCUCUGUGACUCAAAUCAUGAUGAUAGCAGAAAGGAAAGUUACUUUCUCUACAAUGCUGCAGCGUUUAGAAGUAAACACCAUCUGAGACGGACCCACGGAAAACAGAGCAGAACUGGACGGGAGAGUAAAGAGAACCUGAAGGGAGGCGAGGACAGUCAGACCCGGUCCAAAACACCACCAACAGGAGGACACUGGCAGCAGCUGGACGUGCCGACAAAUAAAUAAAUAAAUCAAUAAAGUGAGGUCAAACAAAAUCAUUCAAAACAUCUUUAUGCUUCAGAGACAAAUUUAAAGUCCUAUUUUCACCUCCAGCAGCAGAAAGUAAAAUUCAGCAAUGAUGAAGACAAACCAUGUGAUCAGAGCUGACAGAGUCCCUGUGGAUCCACUCCAGUAUCAGACCCUUUGGCAACAGAACAGGACCCCACAUGGACCUAAUAAAACUGAAUCCUGUCACACACGCUAAGCAUUAAAACCUCUUCCUGGUGACCCAAGCUAAAGCUGCAGCAGCACUGUGGGAAACAUGUAAACCUGGUGACCUCGUCCUCCACCUCCAGGACUUCACCGUUUAUUAAAAAAAGAAAUAAGAACUGCAAGUUAAAAUAUGGAUUUCCGUCUGGAAGAACAUUCGUAGUUUCUGUACUCACAUCCUCAGAUACACCUUUCAAAAUAAAAGCUCACGUACGCGCAUCUACGGUGUCAAUCAAAACGACGGCACCGUGUCCAGGAAAUAUUUGGUUUAUAGUUUCAAUCGCAAGGAAAAGUACACUACAUGGCCAAAAGUAUGUGGACACUACAGACAUCAAUGUGCUGCUCCACCCCGUGGUGUGAAAUCCACGCACCUCCCCAACAUUUUGACCAGCGUUUGACUCAAGACUUUUUUUUCUUAAACCAUAAAAAGGAAAAGCUCUUUGUGGACUUUCAUAUUAAAACAGAAAAGGGGACAAAGCCGGAAGAACACUACCGUCCAAAACUGCUAAAUAAAUAAAUCUGAGGGGUCACAAGAUGGGAGAGAAUUAAAAACAUUUUACAUAAUCAUAAAGAUACUUUCACCAUUUCUGUGUCAAAUAAACAGUUUGGGGGGAAAGUCACUUCUUUUUUUUAUUAUCCAGUCUGGAAUCACAGACAUAUCAAACCUGUGAAGAGAGGUCACACAAAGGUUUGGAAGCAGCCAUCUCAAGCAUCAUUUCAUGCUGGAACUUUAAGAUUUCCCUUCAUUACAACUGAGGAGGAGGAAUCAGGAAAAUCAGCCCCAGACCAGAAGCAAGUGUCUGCAUACGUUACGCCACAUAGUGCAGUUUCACUGAAACGGCCCGAGAGAAAAACAAAUACCAGCAAACUUUUAAAAAUAAACUUCCUGAAAAUCCCGAUUGUUUGUUAGUAUAAAUUCUGUCCAGAUCAGAUCACGUGUCCUUAUUCUGCCGUCCUUCCUCAACCCUCAAACCCAGUGAAAACUAUUUCUCAUAUUAAAAAAUAACGAUAUGUGUGACGGCUGAUCUGCGGGGUGAACGCUCGAGGUCGGCUGCUUCUCUGCAGACACUCACUCUCUCAUUCACUCAGACUGUGGAAUCACAGUAACAUGGCGUGCGUGACGGCCAUGAACAUAAGGCAAAACAAGAAGCAGCGGCGUGGCGUCGCUGCCGUCCUCUCUCUGCACCAACCUGCUGCAGUUUCCUCGGACGUCUCGCGGUGACCGAGCGGCCCCGGAGACGCAGACAGGCCGACGGACUGCCGUCUGGUUUUUAGCAAUUAAUACUCGAGAAAAAAAGCCGACCAGGUUCUUUUAUAAAAGCUUUAGUACUGGACCAUCAUCCUCAGCACCGUUUGGACUUGUUAGAAAAUUAUAAGAAAUUCUUUAAAAACAACAAAGUCUGUCUGUCAUUGGUUCGUGUUGAUGCUUCAGCUCUCAGGUCCGUUUCAGUGGAACUCCACGAACUCCUCCAGCGUUUUGGGGAUCUGGUUGCGGUAGGUGAUCUGGUGCUGCCGGACGGCGCGCGCCGCCAGGCACUUGAGGCUCAUCUUCAUCUGCGUCUUCAGCAGGAUCUCCGACACGCCGGUGGUGCUCUUGUCCAGAGGGGUCUUCUUCUGCUUGUUGGUCAUGUCCGUGUGGGCGCCGGCCUCCACCAGGUUGAUGAUGAUGGCGUGCAGCGUGAGGAAGUCGCUGAUGGGCCGGUUGUACUGGACGAUGACGUGCAGCGGGGUGUUGCCUUCGUGGUCGACGGCGUUGACCUGCGCGCCGCAGUCCAGCAGCAGCUUGGUGACCUGCGCGCUGGGGAAGCUGCAGACGUCGUUGGUGUGGAAGUCGUCGACCGGUGUGGUGGAGCUGAUGGCCAGGUGGAGCAGAGAGGAGCCUUCACGGGACCGCGGGUCCAGCUGGAUCAGGUUGUAGAUGUGCUUGUUGAUGCGGGCGCGCUCCUCGUCGCCGCAGGUCGUCUUGGUAGAGAUGCAGGCGAGGUACAGAAAGGUAAAAACGUUUGACUCGUAACUGUCCAAGGCCUGCGGCAGCUCUGGUUCAGCCGCCGUCUCCACUCGGGCCAUGCUUCGCUGAAUCUCCACCACGCUGCAGCUCAACACCUGCUCCACGGCUGAGGCCAAAACCUGCUCCUUCAGGUGGACCAUCUGGGAGAAGACCUGGGCGAAGCGCAGCAGGUCCUUGUGCGUGUUCCGGUUGCCUUUCUGCCGCAGACGGAGCGCGUGAAGCCACAGUUUGAUGCACUGUUCAAACUCCAUGUUAUCAGCGUAGACGGCGCCGCGAUAUAUGAUGGGGUGUGACACGUCGAUAUUGUCCGAACCCAGGAUGCGCUCCCGAAUCAUCAGCCCCUCCAUGUGCAGAGCGUCCCUGUCCACGCGGAUGGCAUCCAGUUCUUGGGGUGUCCGGCACUCACAGCGCCCCCCGUAGGCCUCGAUGGGCGGCAGCAGCUCCUUGUCGAUGACGUUUUCUGGGUCACGGUAGCGCUCCGUCAUGGCCGUCUGCAGGUAGUGGUACGUCUUCUGGAUGUCGUAGUUCUCCCGGUCGUUGGCGAACGAGGCGCCCAGCAGCUCCAGGGCCUCGAUGCGGCUGCACGGGUCGCAGUCGGCGUGCGCCAGCAGCAGCUCCACCACGUCUGCUUUGCAGCUCUCCGCAGCGACCUUCAGCGGCGUCAUGCCGUGUCCGUUCACCACCAUGGCGGCCUGACAGCGCACCAGCUCUUUUACAAUCUCCAGAUGGCCCGCCUCAGCUGCAAAGUGCAGGGCAGUGGCCCCGCAGUGGGCCUUGGCGUUGGGGUCCGCCCCCUGCUCCAGCAGGAACUUCACGACAUCUGUGUGGCCCUUAUAGGCUGCGAUCAUCAGGCAGGUGUUGUUGUACUUGUUGGUGAUGCUGAUGUCGGCGUUGUGUUCCACCAGGUAGCGGACGAUGUCCAGGCGCCCGUCGAAGCAGGCGGCCCGCAAGGGGGUGGAGUUGGUGAUCGUGGUGUGGUUAACGUUGGCACGGUGACUCACCAGCAGGCGCACCACCUCAAAGUGCCCCGCUCCAGCUGCACACCACAGCGCUGUGGCCCCGUCGAUGACGUAGCUGCAGGACAGACAGGAGACAGACUUCAACUUUACAACAUUCAGGAUGUGACUUUCAAGUGCAGCACACCCUGGUCUCAGUCUGAAACCUGUUCUGGUCUUCAAGACGCGAACCACUCAGGAAUAAAUGCAUUUAAUCUUUAACGCAUAAAUGGAUCCAAAACUUAACUUCAACUUGUUGGAUCUGUAUGGCUGCAACAAAUAAAUAUUUUCAUUGUCUAUU
Micropterus dolomieu (smallmouth bass) is the source of this 6785-nucleotide long non-coding RNA. RefSeq lists it as uncharacterized. The transcript has 2 exons. NCBI's taxonomy places the organism in Eukaryota, Metazoa, Chordata, Actinopteri, Centrarchiformes, Centrarchidae. The record is from RefSeq and is a predicted model, not a curated record.